CCUACGUGAGGCAGCAGUGGGGGAUCUUGCACAAUGGGGGAAACCCUGAUGCAGCGACGCCGCGUGGGCGAAGAAGUAUUUCGGUAUGUAAAGCCAUAUCAGCAGGGAAGCAGAAAUGACGGUACCUGAGUAAGAAGCACCGGCUAAAUACGUGCCAGCAGCCGCGGUAAUACGUAUGGUGCAAGCGUUAUCCGGAUUUACGGGGUGGAAAGGGAGCGUAGGCGGCACGGCAAGCCGGAUGUGAAAGCCCAGGGCUCAACUCCGGGACUGCUUUUGAAACUGUUGAACUAGAUUGCAGGAGAGGUAAGUGGAAUUCCUAGUGUAGCGGUGAAAUGCGUAGAUAUUAGGAGGAACACCAGUGGCGAAGGCGGCUUACUGGACUGUAAAUGACGCUGAGGCUCGAAAGCGUGGGGAGCAAACAGGAUUAGAUACCCGUGUAGUC
RNAcentral lists this ribosomal RNA (442 nucleotides) under uncultured bacterium. Its description in RNAcentral is "partial 16S ribosomal RNA". It matches the Rfam family "Bacterial small subunit ribosomal RNA", at positions 338 to 795 of the family's 1533-position model. The record is from RNAcentral.